This is a long non-coding RNA of Callithrix jacchus (white-tufted-ear marmoset), 480 nucleotides long. RefSeq lists it as uncharacterized. The record is from RefSeq and is a predicted model, not a curated record. Lineage: Eukaryota; Metazoa; Chordata; Mammalia; Primates; Cebidae.
UAAAAGCUUUGUUGCCACCCCAGGCUUUUCUGUGAUGAUGCCAUGGGCCACAUUCUGAUCAAACUGCACACCCAGAAGGUGAAGUGUUGGCUCCAAGCGAGAAAAAUUAUUAAGUUUGGCACUUGAAACCCUGGACGAAAAACCACUGGGACAUCUUUCUCCUGGAGACAGAGCAUAUGGGGUAAACGAUAACCUCUGAGGGAAUAAGAAAUGUAUGUUAGAAAAAGCCUUUUCCCUCUCUACUAGCAAUCCUUACUUGCCAAGAGGCUACCUAUCUCCUUCCCUUCUUGCCAUCUGGAGAGGGAAUACAUCUUCUUACAAGCUUGGAACAACACAGUCUGCCCAUAUGGUAUUUUGGAAAAAGAGUGUCUAUACAGGAUUUGGAUAAAUGAAGAUGCAGACACUACAAAAAGAUAAAACGCAAAGUCAUUCAUUUUACAACAAAGAGCACGAUCCUCAUUUCAGUUCACAGAACAUCCA